GGGCGCUUCCUGCAGUCGAACGGAAACGAGAGAAGCUUGCUUCUUGGCGUCGAGUGGCGAACGGGUGAGUAAUACAUCAAUGCGUACCUUUUAGUGGGGAAUAACGGCCUGAAAGGGUUGCUAAUACCGCAUAAUCCUUGGCGGGGAAAGCAGGGGACCGCAAGGCCUUGUGCUGAAAGAGCGCGUGAUGCCUGAUUAGCUUGUUGGUAAGGUAAUGGCUUACCAAGGCUCCGAUCAGUAGCUGGUAUGAGAGUAUGGCCAGCCACACUGGGACUGAGACACGGCCCAGACUCCUACGGGAGGCAGCAGUGGGGAAUUUUGGACAAUGGGGGCAACCCUGAUCCAGCAAUGCCGCGUGUGUGAUGAAGGCCUUCGGGUUGUAAAGCACUUUUGUUGGGGAAGAAAAGUUGCAUGCUAAUAUCGUGCAAUAAUGACGGUACCUAAAGAAUAAGCACCGGCUAACUACGUGCCAGCAGCCGCGGUAAUACGUAGGGUGCGAGCGUUAAUCGGAAUUACUGGGCGUAAAGAGCGCGUAGGCGGUAGCGUAAGACGGAUGUGAAAUACCAGGGCUUAACCUUGGUGCUGCGUUCGUAACUGCGCUUCUUGAGUGUCCUAGAGGGAGGUAGAAUUUCGCAUGUAGCAGUGGAAUGCGUAGAUAUGCGAAGGAAUACCGGUGGCGAAGGCGGCCUCCUGGGGUGACACUGACGCUGAGGCGCGAAAGCGUGGGGAGCAAACAGGAUUAAAUACCCUGGUAUCC
Molecule: ribosomal RNA, 757 nt
Filed under: uncultured beta proteobacterium
Lineage: Bacteria; Pseudomonadati; Pseudomonadota; Betaproteobacteria
Description: bacterial SSU rRNA
Rfam family: Bacterial small subunit ribosomal RNA
Source: RNAcentral